RNAcentral lists this ribosomal RNA (253 nucleotides) under uncultured bacterium. RNAcentral's name for it is "partial 16S ribosomal RNA". It matches the Rfam family "Bacterial small subunit ribosomal RNA", at positions 524 to 776 of the family's 1533-position model. The record is from RNAcentral.
GACGAAGGUGGCAAGCGUUGCUCGGAAUCACUGGGCUUAAAGGGCGCGUAGGCGGUCGAUCAAGUCGGGUGUGAAAUCCCUCGGCUCAACCGAGGAAUCGCAUUCGAUACUGGUUGGCUGGAGUGCGGUAGGGGAGAGUGGAACUCCAGGUGUAGCGGUGAAAUGCGUAGAUAUCUGGAGGAACGCCGGUGGCGAAAGCGACUCUCUGGCCCGCAACUGACGCUGAGGCGCGAAAGCCAGGGGAGCAAACGGG